Solanum dulcamara is the source of this 332-nucleotide long non-coding RNA. RefSeq lists it as uncharacterized. The transcript is spliced from 2 exons. The record is from RefSeq and is a predicted model, not a curated record. Lineage: Eukaryota; Viridiplantae; Streptophyta; Magnoliopsida; Solanales; Solanaceae.
CAGACCUGCUUGAUCUCCUACGGUUUACUACCACUUCUGAGGCUAUUAUCUCGAGUGUUGAGGGCUUGAGGUUGAAGAUCAUACUCAUCUACGUGGUUAGUUAAACUUUCCUAUCCAGUAGCGUUUAUGGUGAGUCCUCAUUUAUCGGAGACUAGUUAUCUAGUUAGUUAUUAUUUUUAAAGACUUUUUCUAUAUUUCAUAUUGAGGGUGAGCUAGGGACAUGUCUUAGCCUCCGCCCAUAUUCAUGAGUAGAGGCAUCUAGUUGGACAAAUGUUUCAAGUUUAUGUUGUCAUGUGACGUUCUUAAAUUUCUAUUCAUAGUUUAAACUCUCU